GUUUUGAAAGAGACACUGAAAUAGAAGUGAGAAGAUGGUUGAUUAAAACACAUCAGAAAGUUGCCAAGUAAGCACAUUUAUGACAGCAAGUUCUAAACAAACAGAUUUUAAAAGAAAGUUUUCAUUCUGUAACAAUUUGUAUUUCCUCUGUUUGCUUCCACAGAGCAAGGUGUGAACAGAAUGACAAAACACUGUUCAAACUAUUAAAAU
This is a non-coding RNA of Sarcophilus harrisii (Tasmanian devil), 210 nucleotides long. Lineage: Eukaryota; Metazoa; Chordata; Mammalia; Dasyuromorphia; Dasyuridae. The record is from Rfam.